This 468-nucleotide ribosomal RNA is filed under the name uncultured bacterium. Its description in RNAcentral is "partial 16S ribosomal RNA". It matches the Rfam family "Bacterial small subunit ribosomal RNA", at positions 28 to 507 of the family's 1533-position model. The record is from RNAcentral.
GACGAACGCUGGCGGCGUGCUUAACACAUGCAAGUCGAACGGAAGGGCCCUGCUUUUGUGGGGUGCUCGAGUGGCGAACGGGUGAGUAACACGUGAGUAACCUGCCCUUGACUUUGGGAUAACUUCAGGAAACUGGGGCUAAUACCGGAUAGGAGCUCCUGCUGCAUGGUGGGGGUUGGAAAGUUUCGGCGGUUGGGGAUGGACUCGCGGCUUAUCAGCUUGUUGGUGGGGUAGUGGCUUACCAAGGCUUUGACGGGUAGCCGGCCUGAGAGCGUGACCGGGCACAUUGGGACUGAGAUACGGCCCAGACGCCUACGGGAGGCAGCAGUGGGGAAUAUUGCACAAUGGGCGGAAGCCUGAUGCAGCAACGCCGCGUGCGGGAUGACGGCCUUCGGGUUGUAAACCGCUUUCGCCUGUGACGAAGCGUGAGUGACGGUAAUGGGUAAAGAAGCACCGGCUAACUACGUG